This 232-nucleotide long non-coding RNA is filed under the name Lathyrus oleraceus (garden pea). Its description in RNAcentral is "Pisum sativum (pea) long non-coding RNA (PSAT_LNC012306)". The record is from RNAcentral. Lineage: Eukaryota; Viridiplantae; Streptophyta; Magnoliopsida; Fabales; Fabaceae.
UUUCAUCACACUGCGUCCAACAAUAGUUUUUCUUCGGCUGCAUAAAUUUCCAAGGUGCCUCGGGAGAGUAAGUUCGGGUUGUGUCUUUCAUCCACUAAACAUCCUUCCCUCACGCCUCUGGUUUUUAUCCAUCAAUUUGUAACCCAACACCCAAACAGUUGAAAAUAAAAGAAAUCAAAGUUAACUUAAAAAAAAUGAAAAAAAACCAAAACGGAAAAUAAAUUAAAACAAU